UACGUAGGGUGCAAGCGUUGUCCGGAAUUAUUGGGCGUAAAGAGCUCGUAGGCGGUCUGUCGCGUCGGCUGUGAAAACCCGGGGCUCAACCCCGGGCCUGCAGCCGAUACGGGCAGACUAGAGUUCGGCAGGGGAGACUGGAAUUCCUGGUGUAGCGGUGAAAUGCGCAGAUAUCAGGAGGAACACCGGUGGCGAAGGCGGGUCUCUGGGCCGAUACUGACGCUGAGGAGCGAAAGCGUGGGGAGCGAACAGG
RNAcentral lists this ribosomal RNA (253 nucleotides) under uncultured bacterium. Its description in RNAcentral is "partial 16S ribosomal RNA". It matches the Rfam family "Bacterial small subunit ribosomal RNA", at positions 524 to 776 of the family's 1533-position model. The record is from RNAcentral.